CUUCCCACGAUUCCGCCCAGCUAAAAUUCUCCCAAGGCGCGUGCGCGUUCUAUUUCGCUACACCUGCAACCUCAAGGGCGGGGGCCGCGGCCGUGGCCACGUGCGACUCCCCGUGGGUCCGUAUGGGGGCGCCGCCCUGCGCACUGCGACUGCCUCCCUUCCCCAGUGCGCAAGGAGGAGUGACCAUUUCUGAGUCCGACUCCUCCCCCACCCUGGGCUAACUCAGACCAACUCAACAGAGACUGGUCUAGCUGGGAACCCUGAACUUGACCUUGGAGCCCCCUCCUUCACGCUGGCUCCUAAGCUCAGUCUCGAGGCGGGGCUGCCUCUCAAUUCCGUCCAUCUGGACUCUGUCCUUCCCCUUUCUGGGGAAGGGGGAGACAGACCCCUGGAAUUUGUUCUCCUUUCCCGAGGCUCCUGGACCAGAGAUCCUGGGAAAAGGGACACCAUCUUCUGAUGCUUUCUUGCUUCCGCCCUGCUAAUCUCACACCUCGGAUCAUCCCAUGAAUCACCGGCUCCGUGGACACCAA
Long non-coding RNA from Dromiciops gliroides (monito del monte), 530 nucleotides. RefSeq lists it as uncharacterized. NCBI's taxonomy places the organism in Eukaryota, Metazoa, Chordata, Mammalia, Microbiotheria, Microbiotheriidae. The record is from RefSeq and is a predicted model, not a curated record. The transcript is spliced from 2 exons.